AUUGAACGCUGGCGGCAGGCUUAACACAUGCAAGUCGAACGAUGAUUAUCUAGCUUGCUAGAUAUGAUUAGUGGCGGACGGGUGAGUAACAUUUAGGAAUCUGCCUAGUAGUGGGGGAUAGCUCGGGGAAACUCGAAUUAAUACCGCAUACGACCUACGGGUGAAAGGGGGCGCAAGCUCUUGCUAUUAGAUGAGCCUAAAUCAGAUUAGCUAGUUGGUGGGGUAAAGGCCCACCAAGGCGACGAUCUGUAACUGGUCUGAGAGGAUGAUCAGUCACACCGGAACUGAGACACGGUCCGGACUCCUACGGGAGGCAGCAGUGGGGAAUAUUGGACAAUGGGGGCAACCCUGAUCCAGCCAUGCCGCGUGUGUGAAGAAGGCCUUUUGGUUGUAAAGCACUUUAAGCAGGGAGGAGAGGCUAAUGGUUAAUACCCAUUAGAUUAGACGUUACCUGCAGAAUAAGCACCGGCUAACUCUGUGCCAGCAGCCGCGGUAAUACAGAGGGUGCGAGCGUUAAUCGGAAUUACUGGGCGUAAAGCGAGUGUAGGUGGCUCAUUAAGUCACAUGUGAAAUCCCCGGGCUUAACCUGGGAACUGCAUGUGAUACUGGUGGUGCUAGAAUAUGUGAGAGGGAAGUAGAAUUCCAGGUGUAGCGGUGAAAUGCGUAGAGAUCUGGAGGAAUACCGAUGGCGAAGGCAGCUUCCUGGCAUAAUAUUGACACUGAGAUUCGAAAGCGUGGGUAGCAAACAGGAUUAGAUACCCUGGUAGUCCACGCCGUAAACGAUGUCUACUAGCCGUUGGGGUCCUUGAGACUUUAGUGGCGCAGUUAACGCGAUAAGUAGACCGCCUGGGGAGUACGGCCGCAAGGUUAGAACUCAAAUGAAUUGACGGGGGCCCGCACAAGCGGUGGAGCAUGUGGUUUAAUUCGAUGCAACGCGAAGAACCUUACCUGGUCUUGACAUAGUGAGAAUCCUGCAGAGAUGCGGGAGUGCCUUCGGGAAUUCACAUACAGGUGCUGCAUGGCUGUCGUCAGCUCGUGUCGUGAGAUGUUGGGUUAAGUCCCGCAACGAGCGCAACCCUUUUCCUUAUUUGCCAGCGGGUUAAGCCGGGAACUUUAAGGAUACUGCCAGUGACAAACUGGAGGAAGGCGGGGACGACGUCAAGUCAUCAUGGCCCUUACGACCAGGGCUACACACGUGCUACAAUGGUAGGUACAGAGGGUUGCUACACAGCGAUGUGAUGCUAAUCUCAAAAAGCCUAUCGUAGUCCGGAUUGGAGUCUGCAACUCGACUCCAUGAAGUCGGAAUCGCUAGUAAUCGCAGAUCGGAAUGCUGCGGUGAAUACGUUCCCGGGCCU
Molecule: ribosomal RNA, 1355 nt
Filed under: uncultured bacterium
Lineage: Bacteria
Description: bacterial SSU rRNA
Rfam family: Bacterial small subunit ribosomal RNA
Source: RNAcentral